CCACCUUUCUAUUCCCUUCCAGCAAAGUCCAUCUACCUCCAGCAGAGGGCAGUUGGGAGCAUCUCAGCAUGUGGAUGGACUCAAGGGGUCCCCAAAUCAUCCCUACAUUGAGCCCCCAGAGAGUGGGAAAGGGAAGCUUGGCAGAGGAGCAGAUUCUGUUAGACCAGACCAUGAAGGCUGCAUCCAUAGAAGUGAAGGUCCUGAACACAGCGUUGUCCAGGUGGCCUCUUCUGAAACGACGGUCCCUCGGCGGUCCCGCAUGAGCGCCCAGGAACAGCUGGACAGGAUGCAGCGGAACCAGGAGGCCAAACGGAAAUCUGAGGCUGCCCAGCCCUCACCUCUGGGCCACUGGCGAGACUCUCUCAAGCAUGGGUCUAGCCGGCCCCUCCCCAAUGCCCCCCCUGAGCCAUCACCCAAGGAGGGAAUGCAAUUUGGGGAAGUCAAGCCUCCUCGGUGCCCCCCAACCCCUGAGUGGGAGCGACAGCGAGUAAUCCAGCUCUCCUAUGCGCUGGCGACAGAGGCUUCGCAGCGG
RNAcentral lists this long non-coding RNA (532 nucleotides) under Notechis scutatus (mainland tiger snake). Its description in RNAcentral is "lncRNA (ENSNSUG00000005839.1)". The record is from RNAcentral. Lineage: Eukaryota; Metazoa; Chordata; Lepidosauria; Squamata; Elapidae.